GACGAACGCUGGCGGCGUGCUUAACACAUGCAAGUCGAACGGAAAGGCCCUGCGCUUGCGGGGUGCUCGAGUGGCGAACGGGUGAGUAACACGCGAGUAACCUGUCCUUGACUGUGGGAGAAAUUCAGGAAACUGGGGCUAAUACCCGAUAGGAUCUCCUGCUGCACGGGGGGGGUUGGAAAGUUUCGGCGGUGGGGGAUGGACUCGCGGGUUAUCAGCUGGUUAGUGAGGUAGUGGCUUACCAGGGUUUUGACGGGUAGCCGGCCUGAGAGGGUGAACGGGCACAAUGGGACUGCGGUACGGCGCAGACUGCUACGGGCGGCAGCGGUGGGGAGUAUUGCGCAGUGGGCGGGAGCGUGAUGCAGCGGCGCCGCGAUCGGAAUGACGGCUUUCUGGUUGUAAACCGAUUUGGCAUGAGCCGAAGCGUGAGUGACGGUAAUGAGUAAAAAAGCAACGGCUAACUACGUG
RNAcentral lists this ribosomal RNA (468 nucleotides) under uncultured bacterium. Its description in RNAcentral is "partial 16S ribosomal RNA". It matches the Rfam family "Bacterial small subunit ribosomal RNA", at positions 28 to 507 of the family's 1533-position model. The record is from RNAcentral.